Molecule: ribosomal RNA, 253 nt
Filed under: uncultured bacterium
Lineage: Bacteria
Description: partial 16S ribosomal RNA
Rfam family: Bacterial small subunit ribosomal RNA
Source: RNAcentral
UACGGAGGAUGCAAGCGUUAUCCGGAAUGAUUGGGCGUAAAGCGUCCGCAGGUGGUUUUGUAAGUCUGUUGUUAAAGCGUCAUGCUCAACAUGAUUAAAGCAAUGGAAACUACAAGACUAGAGUGCGUUAGGGGUGAAGGGAAUUCCUGGUGUAGCGGUGAAAUGCGUAGAGAUCAGGAAGAACACCGGUGGCGAAGGCGCUUCACUAUGCCGCAACUGACACUGAGGGACGAAAGCUAGGGGAGCGAAUGGG